Molecule: long non-coding RNA, 5598 nt
Filed under: Salmo salar (Atlantic salmon)
Lineage: Eukaryota; Metazoa; Chordata; Actinopteri; Salmoniformes; Salmonidae
Description: lncRNA (ENSSSAG00000088005.1)
Source: RNAcentral
ACACAUACACACAUCCACAUAUAUACACAUGUGCAUACCUACAUACACACACACACACACACACACACACACACACACACACACACACACACACACACCGCGCAUGUAUAUACACACAUACCCACAUACGUGCAUACACACACACACACACACACACACACACACACACACACACACACACACACACACACACACACACACACACACACAUAUACAUACACACAUACAUUUACGCACAUACACACCUACGUACACAUACAUACACAUGUAUACACACACAUACAAAAAAAUAUACUUAUAAAAAUAAAUAUUUUUAAAUAUAUACAGAUACAUACACACACACACACACACACAUACAUACAUACAUACAUACACCCAUACACACACAUCUACAUACACACCCCAGAAUAAUAAUCUACGCUAAUUUAAAAUAUACACAUACCUAAUACUAAAAUGCUAAGAGAAAAUAAUAAUAAAGUACAAAUGCUAAUUAUAUGUACGCACACCUACACAGACACAAGCCCCACGGAGGUCUGGUGGGAAUCUAAUCGUGAGAGCGGGCCAGGCUAUGACAAAGGCAGAACAGCACAAAACAUGAACAUGCUAUCCAGGUGUCUGCGUCUGCCCCUUCCCAGCCAUCACCCCCAGACCCCCGCAAGCAAUAAAUAAAUGGUAUGGUAAUAGGAAUAAUGUAAGAAUUGAAAAAUAAAUAACGAAACAAAACAAAAAUGGGGGAAUAUAAGUAUAUCCAUCCGAAAGUGUCAAUGAUCAGACCUGGAAGGCCUCCCAAACAGGCAUCACCCUGAACCCAGUCAGAAUUAAAGUGAAAUUAACGUUAAAUGAGAGCUCUGACCGCCCUCCAUUGGACAACUCAGCGUGUUACAUGUUCGGCAGCCCUUGUUGAGACCGUUUAGUACGGUUUCACCCGUUAUGGUAUAGUAUGGGUUCGAGUCCAUGAGCAGACCCUAACACACAAUGACAAGAUACUCUAACCCGUACGGGGGAUUGGCGUAUAUUCCCGGAUAAACUUCUCUGCGUCCAAUACCGAGGAGAGCCAAAUCUUCUCCCCAGAAGGCGGGGUAAUUCUUAGUCUUGCAGGGAAGAGCAAGGCUGGGCGAAGAUGGAGUUUGUAGAGUUUGGUCAUGACAUCUCUGUAGCCGGCGCGGUGCUUUGCCACAUCGGGCGCAUAAUCCUCAUAUACACGGAAGGGGUGCCCUUUAUGUAACAGGUUGCCCCUCAUUCGAGCCACACGCAGGAUAAGAUCCUUGGUCUUGAAACUGUGAAAACAGAUGAUUACUGGGUGAGGACGUUGGCCCGGUCGAGGCACUGGGACAAGGGCGCGAUGUGCACGGUCCAGUUGGGGACCUGAAGCCAAAACAUCCGAUCCCAUUGCAUCCUUCAAUAGCUUGGCGAAGAAGUCGGUGGGGCGAGAGCCUGCCUCCACCCCCUCUGCCAGACCAACAACGCAAAGGUUAUGACGUCUGGAUCGGCCCUCCAGGUCGACCACUUUCACAGAAAGCCUCUGCACACUAUCCUGCAAUGACGUGCAUAGCUUCUCUAACUCGUCGAUCCUACCAGCGUUGAAUUCAGAAGCUUUCUCAAGGUCCACAAUACUCUGGCCCUGCGAGGGGACCGUUCGAAUGGUGCUCUCAAUUUUAGUGUCCAGUUCAGCAAUAGUAGCCUUAAGAUCCUCAGCUAUAGCAACACGUAGUUCUCCCAAAGCCCGGGUAAGGUCUGUAAGUGUCACGUUGUUACCUGUGCCCUCCGCCAUGUCUGUCUCGUUGUUUGGCGGGGAGUAGGCCUCCGAAGUGGAUUUAUUGUCCUUUGGUCGCUUAUUACUCGGCAUUUUCACAUAGAAAGUUACAAUAUUGUAUUAGAAAGAAACGUUUGUUGUAAAAAGUGCCAUAAAGUAGGUUAGGUUAGAUUAUUUCGCAAAAAAGUUGCAGGAGCCUCUCACACACAGCCGUUCACUCCAACAUGCUAGCUCCGCCCCAGAAUAAUAUAUUUUUUUAAACAGUGUGUAUUCUGCACAUACUCUGUGACAUACAGUAGACAAUCACAUGUUACUACUGUAAAUAAAUGAAUUAUAAAGAAUAAUGAAAUGAAAAUAAAUGAUCAAACUCAAAACAGCUCAUGAAGAAUAUCAUCAUUCCUAUUCUCAUCAUUUAUAAUGUGUCUGACUCAUGCAGCUCAUAGUGGCUGUGUGGGAUGAGGGGGCUUUGGAGCGAGAGUCAUCUGAAGUGUUUGCAGCACAAAUUCAACAAUGAGUUGGAAGGAAUAGGUGACAGUGGCUAACCACAAGCAUUGCAACUGGUAAUUCAGACUGGGAAAAUACGUUUUGAACGGUCAUCCAAUUCGGAAUUGUAAAUCUUUUUCUUUGAUGACAAAAUUUGCUGACGAAGGACCGCCGCUCACAACAAGGGGACAGUGCUAGUAACAGUGGCUUGACUGCGGCUGGUGCUGUUCCCCUAGUCCAUGGACCUCUCCGACACCUGAAGGACUGGGGACGAAGGAAAGGUAACAGUCUAGUCCCCCCGGACCCUCUGAGCCACCUUCACCACUCAUAUCACCCUCAAUCCCUCCACCAAGACAGUUCAGGGGGCCACCAGGCAGUCAGUGGUGAGGCAUGCCAAGACCUGUGAACAGCCAAGAACCACCGAAUAACAUAAACUACCCGCCAGAAGCCCUCAACCCCAGUAACCCAUCACCAUGACCCUGAAAAUACCAUCAGAACAGAAAGACACACUCCAGAUGGCUGUUCAUGUUUACAUCCCCACUAGGGAAUCCAUCCAUAGAUACCACAAGCGUCCAGCCUUUGCACUUCCUCCAGCACCAGUCCCAGCAUCAACUCAGUUCCCGGUUUCCAGUACCAGACCACGAAACGAGACACAGACCUUCACUUCACAGAUUGUUCUUCCUCCCCUCUACAGACCCGGUACCCAGCCAUGGUUACCAGCCCCUUCGUCAACCCUGGACACAGCAUUGGCCACCACAACUGCCACCUCCACCCAGCCACUGAAUAUACAUUUUUCUAUGGUGUUCAUCAUUUUUUUCAGCAUACCUUUUGAUGAGCAGUUGAUUAGAUUUUUCUGCUAUGAUUUCAUGACUUAUUGAUGUAAUUCCUUAUUAUUUAUUGAACUGUUUAUUUACUGAAUUAUUGAUUAUCUUUUAACUUGAUUGAAAUGUGUACAUGGUUUAACUUAAUAUACAGUAUAAUAUAAAUAAUAUUAACAUUGCUGUUUACAUAUAGUAAUAAAGUGGUAACACAUACACCUCUAUAAACAUCACUGGAACUACAAAUCUUUGCAUCCAGCCUUAGCAUGUACUUGACAGUACAACAAAACUGAUGAACAGGAAUUACAUUUAAUCUACUGGGUAGCCAAAAAAGAUCUACAGUGCCUUGCAAAAGUAUUCACCCCCUUGGUGAUUUUCCUAUUUUGUUGCAUUACAACCUGUUAUUUAAAUGUAUUUUUAUUUGGAUUUCAUGUAAUGGACAUACACAAAAUAGUCCAAAUUGGUGAAGUGAAAUGAAAAAAAAAUACUUUUUUUCAAAAAGAUUAUAUAAAAUAAAAAACGGAAAAGUAGUGCAUGCAUAUGUAUUCACCCCCUUUGCUAUGAAGCCCCUAAAUAAGAUCUGGUGCAACCAAUUACCUUCAGAAGUCACAUAAUUAGUUAAAUAAAGUCCACCUGUGUGCAAUCUAAGUGUCACAUGAUCUUAGUAUGCAUACACCUGUUCUGAAAGGCCCCAGAGUCUGCAACACCACUAAGCAAGGGGCACCACUAAGCAAGAGGCACUAUGAAGGCCAAGGAGCUCUCCAAACAGGUCAGGGACAAAGUUGUGGAGAAGUACAGAUCAGGGUUGGGUUAUAAAAACUAUCAGAAGCUUUGAACAUCCCACAGAGCACCAUUAAAUCCAUUAUUAAAUAAUGGAAAGAAUAUUGCACCACAACAAACCUGCCAAUAGAGGGCUGCCCACCAAAACUCACGAACCAGGCAAGGAGGGCAUUAAUCAGAGAGGCAACAAAGAGACCAAAGAUAACCCUGAAGAAGAUGCAAAGCUCCACAGUGGAGAUUGGAGUAUCUGUCCAUAGGACCACUUUAAGCCAUACACUCCACAGAGCUGGGCUUUACGGAAGAGUGGCCAGAAAAAAAUUAGCAAACAUGUUUGGUGUUCACCAACCCAACACCUCUCAUCACCCAGAGAACACCAUCCCCACAGUGAAGCAUGGUGGUGGCACCAUCAUGCUGUGGGGGAUGUUUUUAAUCGUUAGGGACUGAGAAACUGGUCAGAAUUGAAGGAAUGAUGGGUGGCGCUAAAUACAGGGAAAUUCUUGCGGGAAACCUGUUUCAGUCUUCCAGAGAUUUGAGACUGGGACGGAGGUUCACCUUCCAGCAGGACAAUGACCCUAAGCCUACUGCUAAAGCAACACUUGAGUGGUUUAAGGGGAAACAUUUAAAUGUCUUGGAAUGGCCUAGUCAAAGCCCAGACCUCAAUCCAAUUGAGAAUCUGUGGUAUGACUUAAAGAUUGCUGUACACCAGCAGAACCCAUCCAACUUGAAGGAGCUGGAGCAGUUUUGAGUUGAAGAAUGGGCUAAAAUCCCAGCGGCUAGAUGUGCCAUGCUUAUAGAGACAUACCCCAAGAGACUUGCAGCUGUAAUUGCUUCAAAAGGUGGCUCUACAAAGUAUUGACUUUGGGGUGGUGAAUAGUUAUGCACACUCAAGUUUUCAGUUUUUUUGUCUUAUUUCUUGUUUGUUUCACAAUAAAAAAAUGAAACACCAUUGAUCAAGUGCUUUGAAGUACACUGCUCAGCGAUUUCAACGCAUGCAUCUCAGCUCAGGAAUCAAACUUAACAGCACUAGGAUUUACACAUCCUUUGCACAUCCUUUGCAAGCCAACAUAACUUUUAGGCCUGAUGUGUUUGGUAAACUAUGAGCUUCAGGGCACUGUAUUAGGGUAAAACAAAUGUGUCACUGGGCUACACACAAUACCCCAUAAUGUCAAAGUGUAAUUAAGGUUUUUUGAAAUUUUUACAAAUUAAUAAAAAAUGUAAAGCUGAAAUGUCUAAGUCAAUAAGUAUUCAGGAGUAAACAUUUGCUUAACAAGUCACAUAAUAAGUUGUAUGUACUCAUUCUGUAUGCAAUAAUAGUGUUUCACAUGAUUUUUGGAUGACUACCUUAUCUCUGUACUCCACACGUAUGUGUGGAGUACAGAGAUAAGGAUGGAUCAACAAUGUUGAUAAGGAUGGAUCAACAAUGUUGUGGUCCCGUGUGGCUCAGUUGGUUGGGCAUGGCACUUGCAACGCCAGGGUUUAAUUUCCCCCGGGGACCAGUACGAAUGAAAAUGUAUGUACUCACUACCGUACGUCGCUCUGCAUAUGAGUCUGCUAAAUGACUAAAAUGUAAAAUUCCACAAUACUAACCUAAUUGACAGAGUGAAAAGAAAGAAGUCUGUACAGAAUAAAAACAUUCCAAAACAUGCAUCCUGUUUUUCUAGAAGGCACUAAAGUAAUACUGCAAAAAAAAUGGCAAAACAAUUAACUUUUUGUCCUGAAUACAAAGUGUUAUGUUUGGGGCAAAUCCAAUACAACACAUUACCG